AUGCAGUUUAGUUACCAUUGGAGUAGCACUGAACUGAUUAAGUCUUGUAUAUUAGUACUAUAUAGAUUCUUAACCUGUGGAAUUUUUGCUAGUAGUCAAUUGAUAUUGUUUCUAGGAAUUUCUCUUUGCUUCUGCUCACUUUCAAAUAUUUAUUAUGGAAUAACUGAGGUGAAUUUUAACCAUUUGCUAAGCAGCGGUAGCAACAUAUUUGAUGAGCCAUUUAUCCUCGCAACUCAAGCUACCCAAGUCUAUUAUGUACAAGAUUCUAUAGAGAAGGAUUGGUACGUUGUGGUUCAUCCACCUGCAAGAGACUUCUUUGAUAUGGACGCUAGAAUUGAUGGGCAUGAUGAUGUCCACCUGCAAGAGACUUCUUUGAUAUGGAUCAGGAAAAAAUGA
RNAcentral lists this ribosomal RNA (396 nucleotides) under Triticum aestivum (bread wheat). Its description in RNAcentral is "partial small subunit ribosomal RNA". The record is from RNAcentral. Lineage: Eukaryota; Viridiplantae; Streptophyta; Magnoliopsida; Poales; Poaceae.